This 395-nucleotide unclassified non-coding RNA is filed under the name soil metagenome. Its description in RNAcentral is "partial contains 5.8S ribosomal RNA, internal transcribed spacer 2, and large subunit ribosomal RNA". The stretch from base 1 to 122 matches the Rfam family "5.8S ribosomal RNA", at positions 35 to 154 of the family's 154-position model. The record is from RNAcentral.
GAUGAAGAACGUAGCGAAAUGCGAUACUUGGUGUGAAUUGCAGAAUCCCGUGAACCAUCGAGUCUUUGAACGCAAGUUGCGCCCGAAGCCAUCAGGUUGAGGGCACGUCUGCCUGGGCGUCACAUAUCGUUGCCCAAUGCCUAUUGCAGUGCAAUAGGAAUUUCUAGGGCGAAUGAUGGCUUCCCGUGAGCGUUGUUGCCUCGCGGUUGGUUGAAAAUCGAGUCCUUGGUAGGGUGUGCCAUGGUAGAUGGUGGUCGAGUUAGAACGAUACCGAUCAUGUGCAUGCUCCCCAAAAUAUGGCCUCUAUGACCCACACGCGUCAUUUGACGCUCAUGACGAGACCUCAGGUCAGGCGGGGCUACCCGCUGAAUUUAAGCAUAUCAAUAAGCGGAGGA